Molecule: long non-coding RNA, 3965 nt
Organism: Bos taurus (domestic cattle)
Lineage: Eukaryota; Metazoa; Chordata; Mammalia; Artiodactyla; Bovidae
Source: Ensembl
CUCAGUCAUGUCCGAGUCUUUGUGACCCCACAGGCUGCAGCACGCCAGGCUCCUCUGUCCAUCACCAACUCCCGGCAUUUAAUCAAACUCAGGUCCAUUGAGUCGGUGAUGCCAUCCAACCUUCUCAUCCUCUUUCGUCCCCUUCUUCUCCCGCCUUUAAUCUUUCCCAGCAUCAGGAUCUUUUCUAAUGAGUCAGCUCUUAAAGGCCAAAGUAUUGAAACUUCACCUUCAACAUCAGUCCUUCCAAUGAACACUCAGGACUGAUCUCCUUUAGGAUGGACUGGUUGUCCUUGCAGUCCAAGGGACUCUCAAGAGUCUUCUCCAGCACCUCAGUUCAAAAGCAUUAAUUCUUCGGUGCUCAGCUUUCUUUAUGGUCCAACUCUCACAUCCAUACAUGACCACUGGAAAAACCAUAGCUUUGACUAGACAAAUCUUUGUUGGCAAAGUAAUGUCUCUGCUUUUUAAUAUGCUGUCUAGGUUGGUCAUAGCUUUUCUUCCAAGGAGCAAGCGUCUUUUAAUUUCAUGGCUGCUGAGGGUGGGCAUCCUCAAAGCUCCAGGAUGCUCCUGGGUGGAGCUUCAAGGAAGUUGGAAGUUCCUCCUGUUUAUUAUUCAUUUACAUUUAAUCCCCCACCCCCCACUGCUGCUCUCAGUACUUAAGCCCCUUUACAAACAAGAUCAAGAUAAAAAGGAAAGAAGAGAAACCAAGUAAAGCCAAAAAGAGUGAUAGGAAAAAAAAAAAAAAAACAGGAAGCCAUAGGUAGGGCUGGUGCACAAAUUAUUGCCCUGAGAUGCCCUUUUUUGGUGUGGUGAUCCCCAGUCUACUUGGCACCAGGGACCAGUUUCCUUGAAGACAACUUUUCCACCGACCUGGGAUGGAGGGGAUGGUUUCGGGAUGAGUCAAGUGCGUUACAUUUUUUGUGCACUUUAUUUCUAUCACAUUAGCUCCACCUCAGAACAUGAGGCAUCAGAUCCUGGGGGCUGAGGACCCCUGUUUUAGUGCAUGGCUGUAAGUUUGGCUCCCAGCUUCCUGGCAGCCGAGGCAAGGAUGGAGAUGAGAUGCCCGUGUUGCAGAAACAAACCGUCACUCCAGAGCAGCCUGACUUCUCACUACAGAGAGGAGACAGCGUCCCCAGGGGAGCCUCAGAAAGGAUGCUGCGGAUGUCCUGGCACCCCCAUAGCGUGUCCCACGUGGCUCCCCAGAAAACAGCUCUCAGUGGAAACGAGGGGCAAGCAGCCUAGGCAUGCUUCAAGAAACGCUAUUUGUUAGCAGGUGGGAUUCGGACUGGCCCAGGAGGGCAGGGGAGCUCUGCAGUGGUGCCCAGGCCUGGCAGAACAUCCUGGAAGCUCAUUCAGGAGCGAGAGCGUGUGAUACUGAAAUUGAUGAGAACCAGCCUCACGGAUUCAUGAGCAUGUCUUCCCUGCGCACGUCCUUGCCUCCAUGACACAUUAAACCGCAGGGAAAGAGCUCCAGGAACCUUUAUUCAGUGCACGGGCUGGGUCAGCCUAUCUAACUAGUGGCCCACAACCCAGCAGGGCGAGAAGGUUUCAGAAGAGGUGGGAGGCCCAAGAGGACUGAAGGCCAUCAGAACCAUGUCAGCGAGGGCCCCAACACUCUGCUUCGGGGCCCUCUAACAAAACAUAGCCCAGGGGACCAAGAGCUGGACAGCCGGACAGGCCUGAGUCCCCAGGCUCUGGGCAGCCUCUGCCCUUUGACCUCAGCUUUGUCUACGGCUCUGGAUGAGGUCAUGACUCAUGUCACUUUGGGGACCUGAAGGCCAUCCCGGCCACACCUCGGCCUGCAUGGUUCUCACGUCCAUCCCUGACUCAGUCAUGAAGGCAGCAGAGGUGGGGGCUACCGGCAGUCCAGCUCUGAUCACCUCCUGUUGGGCUCAGCAUUUCCCAGCCAGAUGACUGUCCCAGAUGGCAGGAAGGUACGCCUCAGAGACUGAGCUGAAAGAAGCUGCCCAGUGACUGACCCUUCACAGGCUUGCACACUCCGCUUGCACACCCCUGGUGAUGGGGAGCUCACUACCCAUCAUGGCACUCUUUUCUGUUGUUAGAAUGUUCUUUCUCUGAUUGAGCUAAGUGCUGCUCCUGCAACUCCCACCGGUGGGCUCUGCUGGACCCCAGGAGGCUGGGGAGAAAAUGCUGGUUCCUCACCUCCAGAAGAAGACUGCAAACACCAGAGGCUGGACCUCACGUUCUUUCUUCUCUUCUUAGUUCCUGUGUGACCCUGGGCCUGAGUUUUCUCUCUUUCUGGAGAAUGAGAAGGAAACCCUCCUGGGGUUCCUAAGGACCAGCAGAGGCAGGAGGCAGAAGGCAGAGCUGUAAGAUGGUCCCCAACAUUCCUGCCCCCGGCGCACACAUCCUUCACACUCUCCUUUAACAUGGGUGGGCCUGGCCUAAUCAGGUGAGCUCUUAAAGGCCCUGGGCCCUUCCUGAAGUCAGACACACAAGUGUAGAGAGACUGGAAGUGUGAGGGACCCAUGGAGGGGGUCACAAGGCAAGGGUCUGGGGUGACCUCUAGGAGCCAAGUGGUCCCCGGCCAACAGCCUGCAAGAUAGUGAGGAUCUCAGUCCUACCCACAAGGAGAGGAAUUCUACCAGCAACCGAAGGGCCUGAAGAUGUUCCCCCUGCUGAGCCUGCAGCCGGGGGCGUGGGCCGCUGAGUGAGGACCAGCUGAAGCGUGCUGGGGUCUUGACCCACAGAGACCAGGAGACUCAUUUCCUCCAUGUGGGAGCCAUGAAAAGAGUGACCAGUCGCCAUCUGAUGGUCUUGAGGGAAGAGCCUGCCUUGGAAUGGAGCCGCUCGAGGAGAGGAAGUGAGCAGAGGAGAGAAAGCAAGCUGGUCUUGAGCCUGGAUCGUGCCAUGCCUGAAGCUGUUGUUUCUCAGCUGUCAGAUGAUUGAGCCAGUAGAUCCUCUGUAAUGCUGAAGUCAGCUUGACUGAGUUUCCUGUGUUACCUGCAGCUCAGAUUGCUGUUCAGGGGCUCUGCCCAGCCAACCCUGACAAUAAACAAGAACUCAGCCACUUGGUGGGGUUAUGCCACGGAACGGACUGCCUGCCAUGUGCUGGAAGCUGUCUAUUUUACAUCCCCACGAUGAGGUUCCCUUUGCGUGGGCGAGGAUCUGAGACCGAUAGAUCACCGAGCCUUACCCAAGGCUAGGAUUUGAACUUGGGUCUGUCUGACUCCACAGCCUGUGUGGGUUCUCUGCCCCUGGGCAGUCCCUCCCGGGGCACCGCCUGUGAGCUGGAGCCCAGAGCCUGGCCACAGUGGACAUCUGGGGAGGCUCUCCCGUGUGGACCCGCAUCCUGCCAGCCAGCCUGGCAAGUCCACGGGCACUCCUUGGACCGCGCAUGUCAGGGAGUGUUGGCUGGCUGGGGGCAUCCCUGCAGGGGGUGGGAGGGAGCAUAGUGUUGGCGUGAGCCGGCUCCAGGGUGCAGGCGGCUCCUAGCUCAAGUUGUAGGUUCUGCCGCAUCCUUAGCUCACCCCUCCCUCCCCAAACCCGAAUGUCAGUCCCCAUCCCACCCAGUGACUGAGUGGACGCGUAUCCUGCGGCCCCUUCCCAGGACCCCUCACCGCAGGGACUUCCUCUUCCACCCUUCCUUGGGGCCCCCACGCCACAUCCUGGAUCUCAUAUCACCAGAAACUGCUCACCUCUGAAAUCUCAGUUUCUAACCAUCCCCCUUGGUUUUAUUUAUUUUUUUUAGCUGUGGGAUCUUAGUUCCCUGAUCAGAGGUUGAAUCCAUGCCCCCCUGCAGGGGAAGCUUAGAGACUUAACCACUGGACUGACAGGGAAUUUCCCCUAACCUUGGUUUGAAAAAAUAUAUAACAACUUUGUUGGGAUGUGAUUCAUAUGCCAUACAGUUCACCCUUUUGUGGAGUGAAGUUCAGUGGUUUUUUAGCAUUUUCACUAUGUACAGCCAUCACUAGACAGCUUAUUAAAAAGCAGAGACAUCACUUUGC